Molecule: ribosomal RNA, 1549 nt
Filed under: Escherichia coli
Lineage: Bacteria; Pseudomonadati; Pseudomonadota; Gammaproteobacteria; Enterobacterales; Enterobacteriaceae
Description: bacterial SSU rRNA
Rfam family: Bacterial small subunit ribosomal RNA
Source: RNAcentral
AAAUUGAAGAGUUUGAUCAUGGCUCAGAUUGAACGCUGGCGGCAGGCCUAACACAUGCAAGUCGAACGGUAACAGGAAGCAGCUUGCUGCUUUGCUGACGAGUGGCGGACGGGUGAGUAAUGUCUGGGAAACUGCCUGAUGGAGGGGGAUAACUACUGGAAACGGUAGCUAAUACCGCAUAACGUCGCAAGACCAAAGAGGGGGACCUUCGGGCCUCUUGCCAUCGGAUGUGCCCAGAUGGGAUUAGCUAGUAGGUGGGGUAACGGCUCACCUAGGCGACGAUCCCUAGCUGGUCUGAGAGGAUGACCAGCCACACUGGAACUGAGACACGGUCCAGACUCCUACGGGAGGCAGCAGUGGGGAAUAUUGCACAAUGGGCGCAAGCCUGAUGCAGCCAUGCCGCGUGUAUGAAGAAGGCCUUCGGGUUGUAAAGUACUUUCAGCGGGGAGGAAGGGAGUAAAGUUAAUACCUUUGCUCAUUGACGUUACCCGCAGAAGAAGCACCGGCUAACUCCGUGCCAGCAGCCGCGGUAAUACGGAGGGUGCAAGCGUUAAUCGGAAUUACUGGGCGUAAAGCGCACGCAGGCGGUUUGUUAAGUCAGAUGUGAAAUCCCCGGGCUCAACCUGGGAACUGCAUCUGAUACUGGCAAGCUUGAGUCUCGUAGAGGGGGGUAGAAUUCCAGGUGUAGCGGUGAAAUGCGUAGAGAUCUGGAGGAAUACCGGUGGCGAAGGCGGCCCCCUGGACGAAGACUGACGCUCAGGUGCGAAAGCGUGGGGAGCAAACAGGAUUAGAUACCCUGGUAGUCCACGCCGUAAACGAUGUCGACUUGGAGGUUGUGCCCUUGAGGCGUGGCUUCCGGAGCUAACGCGUUAAGUCGACCGCCUGGGGAGUACGGCCGCAAGGUUAAAACUCAAAUGAAUUGACGGGGGCCCGCACAAGCGGUGGAGCAUGUGGUUUAAUUCGAUGCAACGCGAAGAACCUUACCUGGUCUUGACAUCCACGGAAGUUUUCAGAGAUGAGAAUGUGCCUUCGGGAACCGUGAGACAGGUGCUGCAUGGCUGUCGUCAGCUCGUGUUGUGAAAUGUUGGGUUAAGUCCCGCAACGAGCGCAACCCUUAUCCUUUGUUGCCAGCGGUCCGGCCGGGAACUCAAAGGAGACUGCCAGUGAUAAACUGGAGGAAGGUGGGGAUGACGUCAAGUCAUCAUGGCCCUUACGACCAGGGCUACACACGUGCUACAAUGGCGCAUACAAAGAGAAGCGACCUCGCGAGAGCAAGCGGACCUCAUAAAGUGCGUCGUAGUCCGGAUUGGAGUCUGCAACUCGACUCCAUGAAGUCGGAAUCGCUAGUAAUCGUGGAUCAGAAUGCCACGGUGAAUACGUUCCCGGGCCUUGUACACACCGCCCGUCACACCAUGGGAGUGGGUUGCAAAAGAAGUAGGUAGCUUAACCUUCGGGAGGGCGCUUACCACUUUGUGAUUCAUGACUGGGGUGAAGUCGUAACAAGGUAACCGUAGGGGAACCUGCGGUUGGAUCACCUCCUUACCUUAAA